Molecule: ribosomal RNA, 253 nt
Filed under: uncultured bacterium
Lineage: Bacteria
Description: partial 16S ribosomal RNA
Rfam family: Bacterial small subunit ribosomal RNA
Source: RNAcentral
UACGUAGGGGGCGAGCGUUGUCCGGAUUCAUUGGGCGUAAAGCGCGCGUAGGCGGCUUCGCAAGUCGGCCGUGAAAUCUCCCGGCUCAACUGGGAGGGGUCGGGCGAGACUGCGAGGCUCGAGGUGGGCAGAGGGCAGUGGAAUUCCGGGUGUAGUGGUGGAAUGCGUAGAGCUCCGGAGGAACACCAGUGGCGAAGGCGGCUGCCUGGGCCUGGCCUGACGCUGAGGCGCGAAAGCGUGGGGAGCGAACAGG